CAGUAGCCGCGGUAAUACGUAGGUGGCAAGCGUUGUCCGGAAUUAUUGGGCGUAAAGGGCUCGCAGGCGGUUUCUUAAGUCUGAUGUGAAGGCCCCCGGCUCAACCGGGGAGGGUCAUUGGAAACUGGGAAACUUGAGUGCAGAAGAGGAGAGUGGAAUUCCACGUGUAGCGGUGAAAUGCGUAGAGAUGUGGAGGAACGCCAGUGGCGAAGGCGACUCUCUGGUCUGUAACUGACGCUGAGGAGCGAAAGCGUGGGGAGCGAACAGGAUUAGAUACCCCGGUAGUCCCUGUCUCUUAUAC
RNAcentral lists this ribosomal RNA (301 nucleotides) under uncultured bacterium. RNAcentral's name for it is "partial 16S ribosomal RNA". It matches the Rfam family "Bacterial small subunit ribosomal RNA", at positions 509 to 807 of the family's 1533-position model. The record is from RNAcentral.